This 108-nucleotide non-coding RNA is filed under the name Escherichia coli. Its description in RNAcentral is "antisense sRNA RprA". It matches the Rfam family "RprA RNA". Rfam says of the family: Translational regulation of the stationary phase sigma factor RpoS is mediated by the formation of a double-stranded RNA stem-loop structure in the upstream region of the rpoS messenger RNA, occluding the translation initiation site. Clones carrying rprA (RpoS regulator RNA A) increased the translation of RpoS. The rprA gene encodes a 106 nucleotide regulatory RNA. Lineage: Bacteria; Pseudomonadati; Pseudomonadota; Gammaproteobacteria; Enterobacterales; Enterobacteriaceae. The record is from RNAcentral.
ACGGUUAUAAAUCAACAUAUUGAUUUAUAAGCAUGGAAAUCCCCUGAGUGAAACAACGAAUUGCUGUGUGUAGUCUUUGCCCAUCUCCCACGAUGGGCUUAUUUUUAA